AAACUCUCAGAGCAUCUCAAGCAG
Molecule: non-coding RNA, 24 nt
Filed under: Cricetulus griseus (Chinese hamster)
Lineage: Eukaryota; Metazoa; Chordata; Mammalia; Rodentia; Cricetidae
Source: RNAcentral